RNAcentral lists this ribosomal RNA (1340 nucleotides) under uncultured bacterium. RNAcentral describes it as "bacterial SSU rRNA". It matches the Rfam family "Bacterial small subunit ribosomal RNA", at positions 28 to 1381 of the family's 1533-position model. The record is from RNAcentral.
GAUGAACGCUGGCGGCGUGCUUAACACAUGCAAGUCGAACGGUGAAGCAGAGCUUGCUCUGUGGAUCAGUGGCGAACGGGUGAGUAACACGUGAGCAAUCUGCCCCUGACUCUGGGAUAAGCGCUGGAAACGGCGUCUAAUACCGGAUACGAGCUGCGACCGCAUGGUCAGUAGCUGGAAAGAAUUUCGGUCAGGGAUGAGCUCGCGGCCUAUCAGCUUGUUGGUGAGGUAAUGGCUCACCAAGGCGUCGACGGGUAGCCGGCCUGAGAGGGUGACCGGCCACACUGGGACUGAGACACGGCCCAGACUCCUACGGGAGGCAGCAGUGGGGAAUAUUGCACAAUGGGCGCAAGCCUGAUGCAGCAACGCCGCGUGAGGGAUGACGGCCUUCGGGUUGUAAACCUCUUUUAGCAGGGAAGAAGCGAAAGUGACGGUACCUGCAGAAAAAGCGCCGGCUAACUACGUGCCAGCAGCCGCGGUAAUACGUAGGGCGCAAGCGUUAUCCGGAAUUAUUGGGCGUAAAGAGCUCGUAGGCGGUCUGUCGCGUCUGCUGUGAAAACCCGAGGCUCAACCUCGGGCCUGCAGUGGGUACGGGCAGACUAGAGUGCGGUAGGGGAGAUUGGAAUUCCUGGUGUAGCGGUGGAAUGCGCAGAUAUCAGGAGGAACACCGAUGGCGAAGGCAGAUCUCUGGGCCGUAACUGACGCUGAGGAGCGAAAGGGUGGGGAGCAAACAGGCUUAGAUACCCUGGUAGUCCACCCCGUAAACGUUGGGAACUAGUUGUGGGGUCCAUUCCACGGAUUCCGUGACGCAGCUAACGCAUUAAGUUCCCCGCCUGGGGAGUACGGCCGCAAGGCUAAAACUCAAAGGAAUUGACGGGGACCCGCACAAGCGGCGGAGCAUGCGGAUUAAUUCGAUGCAACGCGAAGAACCUUACCAAGGCUUGACAUAUAGAGGAAACGUCUGGAAACAGUCGCCCCGCAAGGUCUCUAUACAGGUGGUGCAUGGUUGUCGUCAGCUCGUGUCGUGAGAUGUUGGGUUAAGUCCCGCAACGAGCGCAACCCUCGUUCUAUGUUGCCAGCACGUAAUGGUGGGAACUCAUGGGAUACUGCCGGGGUCAACUCGGAGGAAGGUGGGGAUGACGUCAAAUCAUCAUGCCCCUUAUGUCUUGGGCUUCACGCAUGCUACAAUGGCCGGUACAAAGGGCUGCAAUACCGUGAGGUGGAGCGAAUCCCAAAAAGCCGGUCCCAGUUCGGAUUGAGGUCUGCAACUCGACCUCAUGAAGUCGGAGUCGCUAGUAAUCGCAGAUCAGCAACGCUGCGGUGAAUACGUUCCCGGGUCU